AAGAAUGCACAAGCUAUAGUCUGCUGUAUUCAUGGAGCACACAAGAAAGAAAUGUGAAGAGAGGCGGGAUUCCCAUGUUAAAGUGCACUCUACCGUCAGACUUUCUUCAUAAGGAGCCAACCAGUCUUCAGGAGGAUCCACCUAUAUGCAGAGAAAGAAAGUGCUCUUUUAUCUGUAAGCUUACCAAAGUAGAUCUUUGAACCUAAAAAACAUAAAUUUUAAAAGCAAUUAAAAAAUCUGAUGUCUCAAUUUUAACAAUCAAGAAAACAAACUCUCUUACUACAUGGAUCCAAAUAUCUACUGUUAAAAAUAAAUCCAUUUAAUAAGCACCUGCUAAUCCUCUCCUAAUAGUUGGGGAUCAAUAAAAUUGAUAGACCGCUAGCAAGACUAAUAAAGAAGAAAAGAAGAAUCAAAUAGACGCAAUAAAAAAUGACAAAGGAGAUAUCACCACCGAUCCCACAGAAAUACAAACUACCAUCAGAGAAUACUAUAAACACCUCUACGCAAAUAAACUAGAAAAUCUAGAAGAAAUGGAUAAAUUCCUUGACACAUACA
RNAcentral lists this long non-coding RNA (555 nucleotides) under Pongo abelii (Sumatran orangutan). RNAcentral's name for it is "lincRNA". Lineage: Eukaryota; Metazoa; Chordata; Mammalia; Primates; Hominidae. The record is from RNAcentral.